UACAGAGGGUGCAAGCGUUAAUCGGAAUUACUGGGCGUAAAGCGUGCGUAGACGGUUAUGUAAGUCGGGUGUGAAAGCCCCGGGCUCAACCUGGGAAUUGCAUUGGAUACUGGCAGGCUAGAGUGCGGUAGAGGAUGGCGGAAUUCCCGGUGUAGCAGUGAAAUGCGUAGAGAUCGGGAGGAACAUCUGUGGCGAAGGCGGCCAUCUGGACCAGCACUGACACUGAGGCACGAAAGCGUGGGGAGCAAACAGG
RNAcentral lists this ribosomal RNA (253 nucleotides) under uncultured bacterium. RNAcentral's name for it is "partial 16S ribosomal RNA". It matches the Rfam family "Bacterial small subunit ribosomal RNA", at positions 524 to 776 of the family's 1533-position model. The record is from RNAcentral.